GGGGGCGACUGGCUUCGACGGGGUUGGUGAAGCCGUGGCCGCGUGCCCAGGUCCUCGAGCCCUGGUUAAUCCCUCGGGAACGAUUCACAACUGCCAACUCUGAAAUGGCACUGGCUGCGUAACUUUUAGUUGCGCACCUGCCCGGUCUGAAGCUCGCCUGAGGCGUCUGCCGGGUAUCGCAAAUUCGGGCUGGCUUGGCGCCGCGUCUCCCGGCGUUGAGCGAGAUCUGGCGAGACUCAUCUGAGCGUGGGCCGUCCGCCGGCCAGCACUCGGAGACAUUCAAUGGCGGACUACGCACGUAGACGCUGUGGUCGAUCCAUUCUCGGACCGGGGUUCAAUUCCCCGCGCA
Molecule: transfer-messenger RNA, 349 nt
Filed under: Gemmatimonadaceae bacterium
Lineage: Bacteria; Pseudomonadati; Gemmatimonadota; Gemmatimonadia; Gemmatimonadales; Gemmatimonadaceae
Also listed under: 1 other name
Rfam family: transfer-messenger RNA
About the family: Bacterial tmRNA, also known as 10Sa RNA or SsrA, is named for its dual tRNA and mRNA-like properties. Its role is to liberate the mRNA from a stalled ribosome.
Source: RNAcentral